This 597-nucleotide long non-coding RNA is filed under the name Nicotiana tabacum (common tobacco). RNAcentral's name for it is "long non-coding RNA (NTAB_LNC010275)". Lineage: Eukaryota; Viridiplantae; Streptophyta; Magnoliopsida; Solanales; Solanaceae. The record is from RNAcentral.
GGUGUUGGGACUAUCCGUCCAACUUCACAUUUUUCAGGUGAAGUCAAUUUUCAUUGCGUAUUUUUUAUUUGGCCAAUCAUUUAUCUGUCCAAAUUUCAUGACAGAUUUGAGCUCAAGAUCCUCGUCAAUAUUAAUAAAAUUGAGCGCUACAUUAUAUUAACAAUAUCGUCGACGAUCAUUUUGCAUUGGUUCCAUCACCACUCAAUAAAGACAUAACUUAUCGAGAUCUCAUUAUUUUCAGGUACCUGAGCCUCUCCCAUGAGGUCUUAUAAAAUGUUAUGUCAUGGUGCUCUUAUAAAGCACUUGCCUCCUUAGUAUGACCAUCUUUAUCAUUUGCUCCUCUCCUUCUUCAAGUAGUUUUAUCUUUGGAACCGAUUGGUCUGUUACGCUUCUUGCGUGCCAUAGACUCUGUCCCUCAUGGACUUUAUUCUAUUUGGAGCAUUAGCAGCUGAAAUAUGACAUUUAGCUUUGGGUCAGCAAAUGUGUUUGGCAAUAAUUUGCAAAUGAAUUAUCACUUGAACUUUAAGUUCAUAUUUUCUUGUACGAGGAUCUAUAUUGUAUUCAUAAUAAUUCAUUCCACGUAUCACUUUCUUAGCU